Molecule: transfer RNA, 69 nt
Filed under: Pantodon buchholzi (freshwater butterflyfish)
Lineage: Eukaryota; Metazoa; Chordata; Actinopteri; Osteoglossiformes; Pantodontidae
Description: tRNA-Phe
Rfam family: tRNA
About the family: Transfer RNA (tRNA) molecules are approximately 80 nucleotides in length. Their secondary structure includes four short double-helical elements and three loops (D, anti-codon, and T loops).
Source: RNAcentral
GCUAGUGUAGCUUAAUAUAAAGCAUGACACUGAAGAUGUUAAAAUGGGCCCUAAAAAGCCCCACAAGCA